RNAcentral lists this ribosomal RNA (459 nucleotides) under uncultured bacterium. RNAcentral's name for it is "partial 16S ribosomal RNA". It matches the Rfam family "Bacterial small subunit ribosomal RNA", at positions 338 to 794 of the family's 1533-position model. The record is from RNAcentral.
CCUACGGGAGGCGGCAGUGAGGAAUAUUGGUCAAUGGACGAGAGUCUGAACCAGCCAAGUAGCGUGGAGGAUGACUGCCCUAUGGGUUGUAAACUUCUUUUAUAUGGGAAUAAAAUGUUCCACGUGUGGGAUUUUGUAUGUACCAUAUGAAUAAGGAUCGGCUAACUCCGUGCCAGCAGCCGCGGUAAUACGGAGGAUCCGAGCGUUAUCCGGAUUUAUUGGGUUUAAAGGGAGCGUAGGUGGAUUGUUAAGUCAGUUGUGAAAGUUUGCGGCUCAACCGUAAAAUUGCAGUUGAAACUGGCAGUCUUGAGUACAGUAGAGGUGGGCGGAAUUCGUGGUGUAGCGGUGAAAUGCUUAGAUAUCACGAAGAACUCCGAUUGCGAAGGCAGUUCACUGGACUGCAACUGACACUGAGGCUCGAAAGUGUGGGUAUCAAACAGGAUUAGAUACCCCAGUAGU